Molecule: ribosomal RNA, 274 nt
Filed under: uncultured bacterium
Lineage: Bacteria
Description: partial 16S ribosomal RNA
Rfam family: Bacterial small subunit ribosomal RNA
Source: RNAcentral
AAGUUUGAUGGCGACCGGCGCACGGGUGAGUAACACGUAUCCAACCUGCCGAUGACUCGGGGAUAGCCUUUCGAAAGAAAGAUUAAUACCCGAUGGCAUAGUUCUUCCGCAUGGUGGAACUAUUAAAGAAUUUCGGUCAUCGAUGGGGAUGCGUUCCAUUAGGUUGUUGGCGGGGUAACGGCCCACCAAGCCUUCGAUGGAUAGGGGUUCUGAGAGGAAGGUCCCCCCACAUUGGAACUGAGACACGGUCCAAACUCCUACGGGAGGCAGCAUG